AGACACGCAGAGAGAGAGAGAGCUCCCGAGAGCAGCAUCAAACCUGACCUCCCCCCCCCCCCCCCCCUCUUUUCCACCCUCACACACAGUGGACACUACCAACAGUGUUGUGUUGUGAAAGCAGAGAUCAGACAGAAAACAGUGCAUGCCGUGCAUUUUCCUCUCAACCCAACCCCUGAGAAAGUUGUUCAUGUGCUGAAGAUAAUCCAACGUAAUUAUCAGGUCAAGCACAACGAGCUGUUUGAGGACCUAAACCUGGUCUCUCUGGUCUCUGGGGAGAUUGUAAAUAUGAAAGGAUGAAGCCGAGGAUGGGAUUAAAAACAUUACUGGUGGUUGGUGUGCUGUUGGAGCAGUAGUUAGUGCGCUCGCCCCAUGCAUGGAGGCUAUGAUCCUACAAGCGGGCGGCACGGGUUCGAAUCCAGCCUGUGGCUCCUUUCCCGCAUAAUCUCAAUCUGGACUAAAGGAAACAUAAUGCAGCAGGUUCAUUAGAGCACAGAGGUCGUAGAGGUCACUGUGGUCGUGCACCAAUCACAGGGAAUAAACGUCACCACCCCCUCCCCGCUGAGAAGGAAAGGUCACAGAGAGCUUGAGCUUCACCUGACUGCAGCAUGCCCUCUUAGACCCAGACCACAAUCCAACAGGUGAAAUGUUAAACCAAAGGCUGAGAGUGAAAGCGUCUCAAUUCUUCUUAUUUGUUGUCGAGAUGAAGAUCACAAUCAGCUGCUGCGUCAUGAGUGUGUUUGUGUUUGUGAAUAUUGUGAUGUUGACUCGACGAUGUCUGAAGAAGAUCUGUGAGAUUGAAGCGUUUUUUUUUUAAAUGUAGCUUUAUUCACUAUAUGCCUUAUUUCAACAGGUAUGUUUGUAACUGAUGUUCAACAAUGUGUGCAGGGCAUUUACUCCAAAUUAUAUGUUUUUGCAGAUCAUAUGACAUUACAACCCCAGAGUUCAGUGGUUUACCUUAAAAAAGGUUCACUUUGAGUCAGAAGGAAAUAAGAGUCCUCGCUCUGUUAAGCUAACGGACUGUGACAGUGUUACUGAGCCAAACUAAAUAAGUGAAGCACCACCAGUGUUGUGCAAACACGACACCAACACCGGGGGGGGGGGGCUACCUACAUGCUGGAGAGAGUCUCAUAAGACGUGUAAACAUCAUCACAAAAAGUAAGCAAAUUUGUGUUUGGUAGAUUUUUUGUAUUGUAACGAUGCUUCUUGGCACUAAAUUGUAGACCGUUGGAAAUCCGGUUUUAUUUCCCACAUUUGCAAGGAGCAUGCAUUUGUGGGAUGAGCAGCAGAGCUUGCCAAAUAUUCUCUGCCAAUGCCAAACAGCUCAUCCUGCUGUUGACUCUUCUUCUUCAGACUUCAAUCAUCCAAUCCUCUAAACGACACCAAACGAGAGUCAACAGCAGAAUGAGCUGUUUGGCAUUGGCAGAGAAUAUUUGGCAAGUUUUCCAUGGGCGCAACCCACAUACUCAGCUCUGCUGCUCAUCCCACAAAUGCAUGUUCCUUACAAAUCUGGCACCAUUUAAAAA
This is a non-coding RNA of Labrus bergylta (ballan wrasse), 1526 nucleotides long. The record is from RefSeq and is a predicted model, not a curated record. NCBI's taxonomy places the organism in Eukaryota, Metazoa, Chordata, Actinopteri, Labriformes, Labridae.